UACGGGGGGGGUAAGCGUUGUUCGGAAUUACUGGGCGUAAAGGGCUCGUAGGCGGCCAACUAAGUCAGACGUGAAAUCCCUCAGCUUAACUGGGGAACUGCGUCUGAUACUGGAUGGCUUGGAUUCGGGAGAGGAAUGCGGAAUUCCAGGUGUAGCGGUGAAAUGCGUAGAUAUCCGGAGGAACACCGAUGGCGAAGGCAACCGCCUGGGCCUGUACUGACGCUGAGACACGAAAGCGUGGGGAGCAAACAGG
This 253-nucleotide ribosomal RNA is filed under the name uncultured bacterium. RNAcentral describes it as "partial 16S ribosomal RNA". It matches the Rfam family "Bacterial small subunit ribosomal RNA", at positions 524 to 776 of the family's 1533-position model. The record is from RNAcentral.